AAGUUGCUGUUGCAAGGCUCAUGUAACCACUCCUUGAUAAGCCGUUAAAUUAGUUUGGCAAUGUCCUGUCUUCCUGCCUCUUGCUGGGCCGACAUGACCAAAUAAGGAAAAAGAAGUUGAGUCACAAGGCUGAGGAAGACUACGGCCUUCAUCUUCACGACCACCAAAGGGACCAAGAUGACCCCCUAACAACAGUGCACGCAGUAGCAG
This is a long non-coding RNA of Oxyura jamaicensis (ruddy duck), 210 nucleotides long. RefSeq lists it as uncharacterized. The transcript has 3 exons. The record is from RefSeq and is a predicted model, not a curated record. NCBI's taxonomy places the organism in Eukaryota, Metazoa, Chordata, Aves, Anseriformes, Anatidae.